AAACUCACCAGGUCAGGACACGGUAAGGAUUGACGGACUGAAGGCUCUUUCUCGAUUCCGUGGAAAGUGGUGCAUGGCCGUUUUGGUUGGUGGAUCGAUCCGUCUGGUUAAUUCCGUUAACGAACGAGACCUCGGCACUCCGAAUAGCGCGGCGGACGUCGCGGCCUCCGGGCCGUCUUCCGCACGAGCUUCUUAGAGGGACCGUCCCCCGCCGGGGAAGGAGGUGCGAGGCAACGACAGGUCUGUGAUGCCCUUAGAUGUUCUGGGCCGCACGCGCAUUACACUGACGCGUCCAACGGGUGACUCCCGACCCCGAAGGGGCCGGGGAAUCCGCAAGGCGCGUCGUGAUGGGGAUUGAACGUUGCAAUUGUUGUUCACGAACGAGGAAUUCCUAGUAGGCGCGGGUCAUCAACCCGCGCCGAUUACGUCCCUGCCCUUUGUACACACCG
This 449-nucleotide ribosomal RNA is filed under the name uncultured eukaryote. Its description in RNAcentral is "bacterial SSU rRNA". It matches the Rfam family "Eukaryotic small subunit ribosomal RNA", at positions 1211 to 1671 of the family's 1831-position model. The record is from RNAcentral.